CGUGUAGGCGGUUUUCUAAGUCGGACGUGAAAGCUCCCGGCUCAACUGGGAGAGGUCGUUCGAAACUAGGAAACUUGAGGAUGGUAGAGGAGAGUGGAAUUCCCGGUGUAGUGGUGAAGUGCGUAGAUAUCGGGAGGAACACCAGUGGCGAAGGCGGCUCUCUGGGCCAUUCCUGACGCUAAGACGCGAAAGCUAGGGGAGAGAACG
This 207-nucleotide ribosomal RNA is filed under the name uncultured bacterium. Its description in RNAcentral is "partial 16S ribosomal RNA". It matches the Rfam family "Bacterial small subunit ribosomal RNA", at positions 568 to 774 of the family's 1533-position model. The record is from RNAcentral.